AUGGCAUUGCACAAUUAUGUUCGCUUCCAUGACAAGUCAGAUCUCCACUUUGUUUGAUGUGAUAGGGAUCCGAAUUAUGUGCCAACAAUUCCAGAACGGUAUAAGAAGUUUGUUGUUCCUACAAAUGCAUCGGAUACGUCAACUUCGGAGAAUGGUGUUGACAUGGAUCUGGUUAGGAACCAACUUGCUACUGACAUUGCUCUAGGUUGGUGA
RNAcentral lists this ribosomal RNA (213 nucleotides) under Triticum aestivum (bread wheat). RNAcentral's name for it is "partial small subunit ribosomal RNA". Lineage: Eukaryota; Viridiplantae; Streptophyta; Magnoliopsida; Poales; Poaceae. The record is from RNAcentral.